AUACGUAGGGCGCGAGCGUUGUCCGGAUUUAUUGGGCGUAAAGAGCUCGUAGGCGGUUUGUCGCGUCUGCUGUGAAAUCCUCUGGCUUAACUGGGGGCGUGCAGUGGGUACGGGCAGACUGGAGUGCGGUAGGGGAGACUGGAAUUCCUGGUGUAGCGGUGGAAUGCGCAGAUAUCAGGGGGAACACCGGUGGCGAAGGCGGGUCUCUGGGCCGUUACUGACGCUGAGGAGCGAAAGCAUGGGGAGCGAACAGGAUUAGAUACCCUGGUAGUCCAUGCCGUAAACGUUGGGAACUAGGUGUGGGGUCCAUUCCACGGGUCCUGUGCCGUAGCUAACGCAUUAAGUUCCCCGCCUGGGGAGUACGGCCGCAAGGCUAAA
Molecule: ribosomal RNA, 378 nt
Filed under: uncultured bacterium
Lineage: Bacteria
Description: bacterial SSU rRNA
Rfam family: Bacterial small subunit ribosomal RNA
Source: RNAcentral